UAUCAAAAUGCAAUACAUGAAAUUGAUAUAAUGAGCAAUAAUUCAGACACAGAACCUGACAUAGAAUACGUCUCAUCAAAAAAACAGCGCAAUUGCUCUGAUCUUCCACAGCUGUCAUAUGAUAAUAUGGCAGAAGAAAUUUUAAAGAAUAAUGAGCAUAAUGCUUCUUCAGCAAUAAUACCUGAAGAUGGAGAACAAAUAAUGGUGACUAAUUACGAAAUCACGACACCGAAAGAGUCAACUCCAUCUGAAACACCGUUGAGCGCGCCGCAAGAAAAUAUUGAAAAAUACAUUGUUAUUCCUGAAAGUAAUCAGUCGGACACACCUAUAAUAUACUCGUACAUUAAUAAAGAAACAAGUUUAUCAGAAGAACAAUGCGAAUUAAAAUCCAUGAAAAUAGAUAUCACCACUAUUAAAAGUGACCUAAAAUCCAUAAAUGACGAUAUGAAGACUAUAAUGGGGACCCUGAACACAACACUAAAUAAUCAAGCCGUAUUACACGAAACACUGAAAUCGAUUUUAUUACAAGUGACUGAAAUACAAGUUACGAACGAAGAAUUCAUUAAAAAAUCUAUUACAGAAAAACAAAACCAUUCGUUGAUGUUAAAACCAAUACAAGAUUUAAAAGAUUUAGAAGAGUUUGAAAAUAAAUUGAUGGAUUCUGAUUAUAGAGAAGAUUUACUAAGAAAGUUUAGUGUGUUUGGCACUAAAGG
Molecule: long non-coding RNA, 713 nt
Organism: Helicoverpa armigera (cotton bollworm)
Lineage: Eukaryota; Metazoa; Arthropoda; Insecta; Lepidoptera; Noctuidae
Exons: 3
Source: RefSeq, a predicted model, not a curated record